AGCCAAGGUGAUCCCAGCUAAGAGGCCUCCAAGAGCACCCUUGGCAAGUGUAGAAAGAUGCUGUUAAAGUUAUUCCUCUUAUCAGAGGGUCCACUGAAACGGUUUAGGUAAUGUAGCAGCCCUCAGAGCUGGCAGCAUUAUUUGUUCAGUUCACUGCACUUCUGUUCUCUCCUGUUCUGUUCACUGCAUUUCUGAAGCAAGAAAUACCUGCACGACUCCUCCCAUCAGCGACGCUGCUGCAGCCAUGGAAGUGCACAGGACGCCGUAUAAAACACCUGGAAAAGAUCAGGAAAGAAAAAUAAAACAGACCAGAUGCUGCACUUGAGCUGUCUGAAAAGGCAUGGCUAAUCAGCUUUUUAACAGGGUGUGAUGACUAGGCACAGCUCCAUGACACAGCACCGUCUGAGAACUGACACCACUGGAGGAGAAACAAGUAAUCUGGAAAUGGUAAUAUAGAAAUUGGAACACACCUGUAUAGAAGGCUUGGACUAACACUGUUUUGGAAACAAGUGGUUUGGAAUGAGUUUUUUCCCCUUGGAGAUAUGAGUGAAAUUUGUGAGACUGCUUUUAUAUUGUUCUGAUGGAGACACAGGCAGUGUGAUUAAGCAUCUUACUUACAAAUGAGUAGCAGUAAAGUGAAGUACAACUCUUGUACUUCA
This is a long non-coding RNA of Pipra filicauda (Wire-tailed manakin), 659 nucleotides long. RefSeq lists it as uncharacterized. The record is from RefSeq and is a predicted model, not a curated record. Lineage: Eukaryota; Metazoa; Chordata; Aves; Passeriformes; Pipridae. The transcript is spliced from 4 exons.